RNAcentral lists this ribosomal RNA (492 nucleotides) under uncultured bacterium. RNAcentral describes it as "partial 16S ribosomal RNA". It matches the Rfam family "Bacterial small subunit ribosomal RNA", at positions 29 to 507 of the family's 1533-position model. The record is from RNAcentral.
AGUGAACGCUGGCGGUAGGCCUAACACAUGCAAGUCGAACGGCAGCACAGUAAGAGCUUGCUCUUACGGGUGGCGAGUGGCGGACGGGUGAGGAAUACAUCGGAAUCUACUUUUUCGUGGGGGAUAACGUAGGGAAACUUACGCUAAUACCGCAUACGACCUACGGGUGAAAGCAGGGGAUCUUCGGACCUUGCGCGAUUGAAUGAGCCGAUGUCGGAUUAGCUAGUUGGCGGGGUAAAGGCCCACCAAGGCGACGAUCCGUAGCUGGUCUGAGAGGAUGAUCAGCCACACUGGAACUGAGACACGGUCCAGACUCCUACGGGAGGCAGCAGUGGGGAAUAUUGGGCAAUGGGCGCAAGCCUGAUCCAGCUAUACCGCGUGGGUGAAGAAGGCCUUCGGGUUGUAAAGCCCUUUUGUUGGGAAAGAAAAGCAGCAGGUUAAUACCCCGCUGUUCUGACGGUACCCAAUGAAUAAGCACCGGCUAACUUCGUG